RNAcentral lists this non-coding RNA (211 nucleotides) under Tepidibacillus sp. RNAcentral describes it as "T-box sequence". It matches the Rfam family "T-box leader". Rfam says of the family: Uncharged tRNA acts as the effector for transcription antitermination of genes in the T-box leader family. T-boxes are found upstream of many aminoacyl-tRNA synthetase genes and some amino acid biosynthetic genes usually in Gram-positive bacteria. Lineage: Bacteria; Bacillati; Bacillota; Bacilli; Caryophanales; Bacillaceae. The record is from RNAcentral.
UGCAAUUCGAUGAAGGAACUAGUAUGUUUGUUUCGAUUGCUAUAGAGAGAAGAACCUUGGCUGCAAGUUCUUCCAAUCUACAAACAGAACCCAUUCCCGAGAAAUCUGUGAGGAACUGAUCGUUCCCCUUACGUUACAAGGGUUGAGUGAACACAUAUGAUUUUUCCUAUGUGUUAAUAAAGGUGGUACCACGGAGUCUUUCGUCCUUUAG